CAGAAAAUAGUAUAGUUUAGAUUCCUAGCUUUGGGAGGGAGGGGAGGGAGGGAAAAUCUCUCU
Molecule: transfer RNA, 63 nt
Filed under: Clarias liocephalus
Lineage: Eukaryota; Metazoa; Chordata; Actinopteri; Siluriformes; Clariidae
Description: partial tRNA-Pro
Source: RNAcentral